UGGCGAUGAUUACAAACUAUCCGCGCUUCUGAGAUCAAACGCUGAAGCACAAAAAGAUAAUGGUUGAAUUUCUUGACAUGAGCCA
Molecule: small nucleolar RNA, 85 nt
Organism: Selaginella moellendorffii
Lineage: Eukaryota; Viridiplantae; Streptophyta; Lycopodiopsida; Selaginellales; Selaginellaceae
Source: Rfam